GUGGGGAAUAUUGGACAAUGGGCGCAAGCCUGAUCCAGCCAUACCGCGUGGGUGAAGAAGGCCUUCGGGUUGUAAAGCCCUUUUGUUGGGAAAGAAAUCCUGUCGGUUAAUACCUGGCGGGGAUGACGGUACCCAAAGAAUAAGCACCGGCUAACUUCGUGCCAGCAGCCGCGGUAAUACGAAGGGUGCAAGCGUUACUCGGAAUUACUGGGCGUAAAGCGUGCGUAGGUGGUGGUUUAAGUCCGUUGUGAAAGCCCUGGGCUCAACCUGGGAAUUGCAGUGGAUACUGGAUAACUAGAGUGUGGUAGAGGGAUGCGGAAUUUCUGGUGUAGCAGUGAAAUGCGUAGAGAUCAGAAGGAACAUCCGUGGCGAAGGCGGCAUCCUGGGCCAACACUGACACUGAGGCACGAAAGCGUGGGGAGCAAACAGGAUUAGAAACCCUAGUAGUCC
Molecule: ribosomal RNA, 450 nt
Filed under: uncultured bacterium
Lineage: Bacteria
Description: partial 16S ribosomal RNA
Rfam family: Bacterial small subunit ribosomal RNA
Source: RNAcentral